This 90-nucleotide transfer RNA is filed under the name Albidovulum aquaemixtae. Its description in RNAcentral is "Defluviimonas aquaemixtae tRNA-Ser". It matches the Rfam family "tRNA". Rfam says of the family: Transfer RNA (tRNA) molecules are approximately 80 nucleotides in length. Their secondary structure includes four short double-helical elements and three loops (D, anti-codon, and T loops). The record is from RNAcentral. Lineage: Bacteria; Pseudomonadati; Pseudomonadota; Alphaproteobacteria; Rhodobacterales; Paracoccaceae.
GGAGAGGUGCCGGAGCGGUCGAACGGGGCGGUCUCGAAAACCGUUGUGGGCGUGAGUCCACCCAGGGUUCGAAUCCCUGUCUCUCCGCCA